This 549-nucleotide ribosomal RNA is filed under the name uncultured prokaryote. RNAcentral describes it as "bacterial SSU rRNA". It matches the Rfam family "Bacterial small subunit ribosomal RNA", at positions 355 to 896 of the family's 1533-position model. The record is from RNAcentral.
UGGGGAAUUUUGGACAAUGGGCGCAAGCCUGAUCCAGCCAUGCCGCGUGAGUGAAGAAGGCCUUCGGGUUGUAAAGCUCUUUCGGCAGGAACGAAAUGGUACGUGCUAAUACCACGGACUGAUGACGGUACCUGAAGAAGAAGCACCGGCUAACUACGUGCCAGCAGCCGCGGUAAUACGUAGGGUGCAGGCGUUAAUCGGAAUUACUGGGCGUAAAGCGUGCGCAGGCGGUUUCUUAAGUCAGAUGUGAAAGCCCCGGGCUUAACCUGGGAACUGCGUUUGAAACUGGGAGACUUGAGUGUGGCAGAGGGGGGUGGAAUUCCACGUGUAGCAGUGAAAUGCGUAGAUAUGUGGAGGAACACCGAUGGCGAAGGCAGCCCCCUGGGCUAACACUGACGCUCAUGCACGAAAGCGUGGGGAGCAAACAGGAUUAGAUACCCUGGUAGUCCACGCCCUAAACUAUGUCAACUGGUUGUCGGGAGAUUAACUCUCUUGGUAACGAAGCUAACGCGUGAAGUUGACCGCCUGGGGAGUACGGCCGCAAGGUUA